UACGAAGGGGGCUAGCGUUGUUCGGAUUUACUGGGCGUAAAGGGCGCGUAGGCGGCCUGCUAAGUCGAACGUGAAAUCCCUGGGCUCAACCCAGGAACUGCGUCCGAUACUGCGGGUCUCGAGUCCGGGAGAGGUGAGUGGAAUUCCUAGUGUAGAGGUGAAAUUCGUAGAUAUUAGGAAGAACACCAGUGGCGAAGGCGGCUCACUGGCCCGGUACUGACGCUGAGGCGCGAAAGCGUGGGGAGCAAACAGGG
This 254-nucleotide ribosomal RNA is filed under the name uncultured bacterium. Its description in RNAcentral is "partial 16S ribosomal RNA". It matches the Rfam family "Bacterial small subunit ribosomal RNA", at positions 524 to 777 of the family's 1533-position model. The record is from RNAcentral.